GAUGAACGCUGGCGGCGUGCCUAAUACAUGCAAGUCGAGCGAACAGAUGAGGAGCUUGCUCCUCUGACGUUAGCGGCGGACGGGUGAGUAACACGUGGAUAACCUACCUAUAAGACUGGGAUAACUUCGGGAAACCGGAGCUAAUACCGGAUAAUAUAUUGAACCGCAUGGUUCAAUAGUGAAAGACGGUUCUGCUGUCACUUAUAGAUGGAUCCGCGCCGCAUUAGCUAGUUGGUAAGGUAACGGCUUACCAAGGCAACGAUGCGUAGCCGACCUGAGAGGGUGAUCGGCCACACUGGGACUGAGACACGGUCCAGACUCCUACGGGAGGCAGCAGUAGGGAAUCUUCCGCAAUGGGCGAAAGCCUGACGGAGCAACGCCGCGUGAGUGAUGAAGGUCUUCGGAUCGUAAAACUCUGUUAUUAGGGAAGAACAAAUGUGUAAGUAACUAUGCACGUCUUGACGGUACCUAAUCAGAAAGCCACGGCUAACUACGUG
RNAcentral lists this ribosomal RNA (497 nucleotides) under uncultured bacterium. Its description in RNAcentral is "partial 16S ribosomal RNA". It matches the Rfam family "Bacterial small subunit ribosomal RNA", at positions 28 to 507 of the family's 1533-position model. The record is from RNAcentral.